Molecule: long non-coding RNA, 278 nt
Organism: Leptinotarsa decemlineata (Colorado potato beetle)
Lineage: Eukaryota; Metazoa; Arthropoda; Insecta; Coleoptera; Chrysomelidae
Source: RefSeq, a predicted model, not a curated record
AAAAUCAGACACGCACCUUCUCUACAGUCCAGUUGUCCAGAAAAACAGAGUACACCUUAUUAAAUCUGGUUCUUUUCCUGGAUGCAAUACAAAAGCGAGCAAUAACGACAGGAAUUCAACUGAUAACAUUCUCACUGGCCAGAUCAGCAUACAGGGCGUAUACUGCGAAACAUCCACGACCAGUGGUGGAGAUAGCGAAGAAGACAAUAAUAGAAAGGCACUAAACUUUAGAUAUGGCGGCAAGACUCGAUAUGGAGAUUUGAAAGCAGGGAGUCCUG